Molecule: small nuclear RNA, 276 nt
Filed under: Oryctolagus cuniculus (rabbit)
Lineage: Eukaryota; Metazoa; Chordata; Mammalia; Lagomorpha; Leporidae
Description: 7SK RNA
Rfam family: 7SK RNA
About the family: 7SK was discovered as an abundant small nuclear RNA in the mid-70s but a possible function has only recently been suggested. Two independent studies have found that 7SK RNA binds the CDK9/cyclin T complex (known as elongation factor P-TEFb).
Source: Rfam by way of RNAcentral
GGAUGUGAAGGUGAUGUAGCUGCGACAUCUGAUAUCCCAUUGAUCACCAGAGUUGAUUCAGCUGAUCUGGCUGGCUAGGCACGUGUCCCCUUCCUCCCUCACCACUCCAUGUGCAUCCUUCCAGAAGCCACACACUCGGUCAAAGAGGAUGACCUGCCCCGCUUGAGGAGGAUCGGUUUUGAUCCCCUGCUAGAACCUCCAAACAAGCUCUCAGGAAAUGAGUUGAUAGGAAAAGCAAUAUGCAGAAUACAGAUUUAUAUUGUUAAGAGAUAGUAU